Molecule: ribosomal RNA, 443 nt
Filed under: uncultured bacterium
Lineage: Bacteria
Description: partial 16S ribosomal RNA
Rfam family: Bacterial small subunit ribosomal RNA
Source: RNAcentral
CCUACGGGUGGCAGCAGUGGGGAAUAUUGGGCAAUGGAGGAAACUCUGACCCAGCAACGCCGCGUGAAUGAUGAAGGUCUUCGGAUUGUAAAGUUCUUUUCUAAGGGAAGAAGAAAGUGACGGUACCUUAGGAAUAAGCCUCGGCUAACUACGUGCCAGCAGCCGCGGUAAUACGUAGGAGGCAAGCGUUAUCCGGAAUGACUGGGCGUAAAGGGUGCGUAGGUGGUUUGACAAGUUGGUAGCGUAACUCCGGAGCUCAACCUCGGCACUACUACCAAUACUGUCGGACUUGAGUGCAGGAGGGGCAAAUGGAAUUCCUGGUGUAGCGGUGGAAUGCGUAGAUAUUAGGAGGAACACCAGUGGCGAAGGCGAUUUGCUGGACUGUAACUGACACUGAGGCACGAAAGCGUGGGGAGCAAACAGGAUUAGAUACCCUAGUAGUC